RNAcentral lists this ribosomal RNA (256 nucleotides) under uncultured bacterium. RNAcentral describes it as "partial 16S ribosomal RNA". It matches the Rfam family "Bacterial small subunit ribosomal RNA", at positions 524 to 776 of the family's 1533-position model. The record is from RNAcentral.
UACGUAGGGCGCAAGCGUUGUCCGGAAUUAUUGGGCGUAAAGAGCUCGUAGGCGGCUUGUCACGUCGAUUGUGAAAGCCCGAGGCUUAACCUCGGGUCUGCAGUCGAUACGGGCUAGCUAGAGUGUGGUAGGGGAGAUCGGAAUUCCUGGUGUAGCGGUCGAAAUGCGCAGAUAUCAGGAGGAACACCGGGUGGCGAAGGCGGCUACCUGGACCGGAACUGACGGCUGAUGCGCGAAAGCGUGGGUAGCAAACAGG